Podarcis lilfordi (Lilford's wall lizard) is the source of this 90-nucleotide non-coding RNA. NCBI's taxonomy places the organism in Eukaryota, Metazoa, Chordata, Lepidosauria, Squamata, Lacertidae. The record is from the annotation of a GenBank genome assembly.
GCCCAAGAGGCUCAGUGGUUUAGACCACAGUGCCACCCGCGACCCUAUAGCUCAAUCUCGGGGUCGUGGGUUCAAGUCCCACAUUGGGCA